UCCAAGGUCAUAUUUCUUUCUGAGGAAG
This 28-nucleotide non-coding RNA is filed under the name Mus musculus (house mouse). The record is from RNAcentral. Lineage: Eukaryota; Metazoa; Chordata; Mammalia; Rodentia; Muridae.